GUGAGACUCCCAUCUCAAAAAACAAACAAACAAAAAACUAGGGGAAGACUGCAAAAGAAAAGAAAACAGAAAAAAGGGAAACAAAGAUUUGGAAAAAUGAAAACUCCCAACAGAAUAGCCCAGGACAAGAAAUGCACUGAUGGGUAAUGUCCUCCCUAUAGUAGAUGAAAGUCUCUACUGCCUUCCCUUAAUGGUUGUUCCUUGGCUCUGCUGACAAGUCGGGAGCCAGGGUAUGAACUUGGUGGGUGGCAACACAUCUGCUGACCUCGGGUCUGCUGGGAAGAAUACAGGGCAGGACCUAUGUUUGGUGUCAGAAUCAUCUGGAGGUUGCAGUCCAUGAGCUGAGAAAGGAGGCAGUGCUCUUGGGAGAAACAACAGAGGCCUCAAGUUUCAGGCUGAAGCCAACAGAGUCCCAACCAGUGGGCAUAUCCCAAGAUGAAGAAUUUUGGAAUACAUACCAGGGUCUGCAAGAACAGCUCA
This 480-nucleotide small RNA is filed under the name Pongo abelii (Sumatran orangutan). Its description in RNAcentral is "processed transcript". The record is from RNAcentral. Lineage: Eukaryota; Metazoa; Chordata; Mammalia; Primates; Hominidae.